AUAUAAAUUUUAAAUUUAAUUUCAGUUGCACUAAAACAUUUACAAGAUCCAGGGAAUGCAAAACAAGCUUAUGAACAAGCAAUUCGUUUCGAUCAGAAUGACCCUAUUAUUCAACUUAAUUAUGCUGUUUUCUUACACGGAAUCGGAGAGCAGAAAGCUGCUAUUACUCAGUUGCAAGAAUUUCAACAAUGUUGGACAAAAAUCCAAAAAUCUUCGGGAGGUGACAUGAAUGAUAAUCUUCUAGCAACAGCAACAAAGUUAGCAAAGGCUUUACAAAUAAAUGAAAAUUUAACAAGCGAUCCACAAACAGAAGUAAAAUCCGUCCAGCCGCAGCCAUCAGAAGAAAAUCCAAAAUGAUACAUUAGUUACUGCAGCAUUUCUAAAUUAUUAUUUUAUUAUAUUAUCAUCUAAAUAUCUAUUGUAUUUUUGUAAAAUAAUGCAAAAGAAGAUAACUUGCUUAAGUAUAGAUAUAUUUA
This is a long non-coding RNA of Centruroides sculpturatus (bark scorpion), 476 nucleotides long. RefSeq lists it as uncharacterized. NCBI's taxonomy places the organism in Eukaryota, Metazoa, Arthropoda, Arachnida, Scorpiones, Buthidae. The record is from RefSeq and is a predicted model, not a curated record. The transcript has 3 exons.